UGGGGAAUAUUGCACAAUGGGCGCAAGCCUGAUGCAGCCAUGCCGCGUGUAUGAAGAAGGCCUUCGGGUUGUAAAGUACUUUCAGCUGGGAGGAAGGCGAUAAGGUUAAUAACCUUGUCGAUUGACGUUACCCGCAGAAGAAGCACCGGCUAACUCCGUGCCAGCAGCCGCGGUAAUACGGAGGGUGCAAGCGUUAAUCGGAAUUACUGGGCGUAAAGCGCACGCAGGCGGUCUGUCAAGUCGGAUGUGAAAUCCCCGGGCUCAACCUGGGAACUGCAUUCGAAACUGGCAGGCUAGAGUCUUGUAGAGGGGGGUAGAAUUCCAGGUGUAGCGGUGAAAUGCGUAGAGAUCUGGAGGAAUACCGGUGGCGAAGGCGGCCCCCUGGACAAAGACUGACGCUCAGGUGCGAAAGCGUGGGGAGCAAACA
Molecule: ribosomal RNA, 427 nt
Filed under: uncultured bacterium
Lineage: Bacteria
Description: partial 16S ribosomal RNA
Rfam family: Bacterial small subunit ribosomal RNA
Source: RNAcentral